GGUUGGCCUUCUGCUUCGAGCCAUGGGUUAUCCACCUAGGACAAGAAUAUUCCUAUCAGGUUCUGAAACCUUUGGCGGACAACGGGUUAUGAUUCCUUUACGCGCCAUGUACACCAAUUUAGUUGAUCGUACUUCUUUGUGCAGCAAAACAGAGCUAGCCAAUUUAGUUGGCCCUGAAACCCCCCUUAUUCCUGAUCCUGAUCAGUUUUUACCAGUAAAAAGUUCAAAUCAACUAAAAUCAGAAUGGGACAAGUCUGGUCCCCGCCCAAGGCCUCUACCACCUCCUCCUGAUCGACCUAUUUAUCGACAUGAAAAAGAAGGCUGGUAUGGGUGGGUUGCAGAGAAAGAUAAGGAACCAGAACCUUCUCUCAAUGAUCAGAGGGAGCAAGCACACCGACUGCUAUGGGAUGCUCUUGAUUACAUAGUCUCGGUGGACGCUGAAGUUUUUUUCCCUGGUUUUGACAAUGAUGGUAGUGGGCCUGAUUUUGCUAGCUUGGUGAUGGGACACCGACUUUAUGAGAUGGCAUCUGCAAGAACAUUUCGGCCAAACAGGUAAAACUAACAACACUCCUGGUCCUUUCUUUGUUUGGUGUUUACUAUUUCUUUUUAUUUACCAUCACUUUCUAAAAUGUAUCUUGUAUAUGCAGGAAAUAUCUUGCAGAGCUCUUUAAUACUACCGUCGAUCAUCUUUAUUAUCCACCUCGUAAUUGGACUUUUGCUGUCAGAGAACAUCUCAACAAAAGCCUGGCAGAAGAGGGCCUUUUGAAGGAAUCUAAUCUAUCAAAAACAAAGUUUUUCCUCUCUCACCCUAUUCCAGAAUGCUCAUGUUCAACUGUCAAGGCUACUGAUAUUGUGCAUUCAGGAAAGAACAACAAUCUCCAUCUGUUGUUUGAAGGGCAGGAUGAGUGCCCCAAAUGGAUGCAACAACUAAGAACUCAAGAGGCUAAAGCUGAUGAAGUUGAUUCUCAAGAAGAUGAGAUUGAUUUAAACGGGCAGUCAGAAUCGGAAGGAUACAAUGGAACUGAUGCAAUUCCAUCCCUGGAACAGGAUGAGGAAAUGGAUCCUGAUGAUUAGGAUUAGAUGUACAUAUCUUGCCUUCAUUUUCUUGUUCAUUUCCCUCUAUGCCACCGACGUCAAGCCCCACUCUGGAUUAAUCUUUUCUAAGAGUGUAAAAACUUACAGCAGCAGCAUGCUGCUUUUGGAAUGUCUGGAAGCACUCCCAAUUUUUUUGGGGCCAAAUUAACUGCAAGCACAGUUCUUCAAAUGUGCUUUAGAAGAAUCCGUGCAGUCUGCUUAGAGUUCAUUGCUUGGCAUCUGGACUCCAUUGGUCUCUUCCUUAGAACUCUCCCUCUUUCUCUCCAAGCAGGACAAGUUUUCUCAUCUUCUACAGGUAUACAGCAUACAAAAGAUGUCUAAAUUUCUAGUACUUUGCGACUGCACAAAGCAAAAGUGACACUGUGAAGCCAUAUAUAGUUGACAACGAUUCUUUGAUUUUCAUUUCACAUUUAGGUUGGCCUUCUGCUUCGAGCCAUGGGUUAUCCACCUAGGACAAGAAUAUUCCUAUCAGGUUCUGAAACCUUUGGCGGACAACGGGUUAUGAUUCCUUUACGCGCCAUGUACACCAAUUUAGUUGAUCGUACUUCUUUGUGCAGCAAAACAGAGCUAGCCAAUUUAGUUGGCCCUGAAACCCCCCUUAUUCCUGAUCCUGAUCAGCUUUUACCAGUAAAAAGUCCAAAUCAACUAAAAUCAGAAUGGGACAAGUCUGGUCCCCGCCCAAGGCCUCUACCACCUCCUCCUGAUCGACCUAUUUAUCGACAUGAAAAAGAAGGCUGGUAUGGGUGGGUUGCAGAGAAAGAUAAGGAACCAGAACCUUCUCUCAAUGAUCAGAGGGAGCAAGCACACCGACUGCUAUGGGAUGCUCUUGAUUACAUAGUCUCGGUGGACGCUGAAGUUUUUUUCCCUGGUUUUGACAAUGAUGGUAGUGGGCCUGAUUUUGCUAGCUUGGUGAUGGGACACCGACUUUAUGAGAUGGCAUCUGCAAGAACAUUUCGGCCAAAC
This 2058-nucleotide long non-coding RNA is filed under the name Solanum tuberosum (potato). RNAcentral's name for it is "long non-coding RNA (STUB_LNC006602)". Lineage: Eukaryota; Viridiplantae; Streptophyta; Magnoliopsida; Solanales; Solanaceae. The record is from RNAcentral.